Molecule: ribosomal RNA, 261 nt
Filed under: uncultured prokaryote
Description: partial 16S ribosomal RNA
Rfam family: Bacterial small subunit ribosomal RNA
Source: RNAcentral
UACGGAGGAUGCGAGCGUUAUCCGGAUUUAUUGGGUUUAAAGGGUGCGUAGGCGGCUUUUUAAGUCAGCGGUGAAAUUUUGCAGCUUAACUGUAACAGUGCCGUUGAUACUGGGGAGCUAGGAUUUGGUUGUAGUGUGCGGAAUGUGUGGUGUAGCGGUGAAAUGCUUAGAUAUCACACAGAACACCGAUUGCGAAGGCAGCACACUAAGUCAUUAUUGACGCUGAGGCACGAAAGUGUGGGGAUCAAACAGGAUUAGAUA